Molecule: ribosomal RNA, 698 nt
Filed under: uncultured crenarchaeote
Lineage: Archaea; Thermoproteati; Thermoproteota
Description: bacterial SSU rRNA
Rfam family: Archaeal small subunit ribosomal RNA
Source: RNAcentral
UGCGAGUCGACACAGCAAUGUGUGGCAUACGGCUCAGUAACACGUAGUCAACAUGCCCAGGGGACGUGGAUAACCUCGGGAAACUGAGGAUAAACCGCGAUAGGUCACUACUUCUGGAAUGGGUAAUGACCCAAACCUAUAUGGCCCCUGGAUUGGACUGCGGCCGAUCAGGCUGUUGGUGAGGUAAUGGCCCACCAAACCUGUAACCGGUACGGGCUCUGAGAGGAGGAGCCCGGAGAUGGGCACUGAGACAAGGGCCCAGGCCCUAUGGGGCGCAGCAGGCGCGAAACCUCUGCAAUAGGCGAAAGCUUGACAGGGUUACUCUGAGUGAUUUCCGUUAAGGAGAUCUUUUGGCACCUCUAAAAAUGGUGCAGAAUAAGGGGUGGGCAAGUCUGGUGUCAGCCGCCGCGGUAAUACCAGCACCCCGAGUGGUCGGGACGUUUAUUGGGCCUAAAGCAUCCGUAGCCGGUUCUACAAGUCUUCCGUUAAAUCCACCUGCUUAACAGAUGGGCUGCGGAAGAUACUAUGGAGCUAGGAGGCGGGAGAGGCAAGCGGUACUCGAUGGGUAGGGGUAAAAUCCGUUGAUCCAUUGAAGACCACCAGUGGCGAAGGCGGCUUGCCAGAACGCGCCCGACGGUGAGGGAUGAAAGCUGGGGGAGCAAACCGGAUUAGAUACCCGGGUAGUCCCAGCUGUAAAC